AAAUGUACAUACGUCGUAUCGUGACUUUUAGUAGAUGACUAAAGUUAAGCGAAAUUGGGUGCGGCUAAUACUUGAAUGCACUUGGAUAGUUGCGAUGGUUGAAUGGAUUGUCUGACAGGAACAUCGUCAGUGGGUUGUAGCAUCAGCUUUCCAUAUCCCUAAUGCUGGCCUCCAGUCCCUCCAGUUGUGAAAAGGAGAAAAAUUUGCGAAACAAGUCAGCCAUGAAAACGUAACUCCUCUCCAAUUCUAGAUAAAGACCAACUCAUCUGUUUUAAGUCGAAACAACCCUAGUGUUGGAUCCAAAGUAUUGAGCCGAAAUAUGUCUCAAAUACAGAGAUAGAUAUAAAUGUAAAUACAUACUGAGCUCCGAUGUGGUUAAUUAAAGUGAAGGUAACUUGAUUCAAAGGUGGAUUAUACAAGGAGCCCUUUAUGAAUUUAUGUUAACAGCACUGCAAUUGUGUAGUUAAUGGUAAGCUUAUAUCAAUAAGCUAUAAAAUUCAGAAGAUUUAAGAUACCAACAUAUUUGAGGCGGAGAUUUAUAUUCUGUAUUUUGAAUGGUCUGAUUGACAUCAAUAAUAAUAAAUUUAGUAAGGUUCAAUUAAGCCAACAAAAUGAGGAGAAAAGCAGGAGUAGGAGCGAUUCACAAACAGAAACUUGAACAAGAGAAGUACAAGGACAAGGGAACAGAAAUUCAAGAAAAUCAAUUCGAGCAGAUGACAAAACAUAUGGAGACAUUCAGAAUUAAUUUAGAAGAAUUUGCAUCGAAACAUAAAUCUGAAAUUAAGAAAAACGCUCAGUUCCGUCGACAAUUCACUGAAAUGUGUGCAUCAAUCGGGGUAGAUCCCCUUGCAUCUGGCAAAGGUUUCUGGUCGGUUCUUGGGAUUGGCGACUUCUAUUAUGAACUUAGCGUACAAAUUGUUGAAGUAUGUUUAGCUACUAAUUAUAAGAACGGAGGCCUGAUUUCUUUGGAUGAAUUAAGAAAUAGAUUAGUACAAGCUAGAGGUCGUCGUAAGGAGCACCAAGAAAUAACAAAUGAAGAUCUCUUAGCUGCAGCAAAAAAGCUUAGGAUCUUUGGAAAUGGCUUUUCUGUCGUUUCAGUUGGUAGAGGGAAACACCUAGUCCAGUCGAUUCCUGGGGAAUUGAGUAUGGAUCAUACCGCUGUGUUACAGCAAGCCAGUUUAUCUGGAAAUGCUCACGUUUCUCAAUCGAUAUUAGAAAACGAAUUACACUGGGAGAGUGAAAGGGCCCGGAAAGCUCUCGAUCAUAUGGUAAAAGAAGGUUUAGCAUGGAUAGACAAGCAAGCACAGGAAGAAUCCUUGUAUUGGUUUCCAAGCAUGUUUGCAGCUUGCAUUGUAUCCAAUUCAUAACAUUCAUGUUCAAUGUUCAUGAAAAGACUGAGGAAUGAAGGCUUUUCUAGAUGUGACAUUAGUAUACUAUAUUGUCACCUGGUCCCAUCUCCUUGAUCAUACCUAAAAAAUUAAAAUUAUGAGAACAAUAGGAGCUAAAGAUAGCUACACGUUUUUGAAGGUUCAAGAUCAUUUCCUUGUCAUCUGAACGACCAUCGCAAUUGUCUAGACCGCUGUGAGAGAGG
RNA transcript from Orussus abietinus, 1591 nucleotides. It is a transcript of the gene named vacuolar-sorting protein SNF8, with no coding region annotated. NCBI's taxonomy places the organism in Eukaryota, Metazoa, Arthropoda, Insecta, Hymenoptera, Orussidae. The record is from RefSeq and is a predicted model, not a curated record. The transcript is spliced from 3 exons.